ACCUUGCACAGGUGCUGCAUGGCUGUCGUCAGCUCGUGUCGUGAGAUGUUCGGUUAAGUCCGCUAACGAGCGCAACCCUCGCUGUGUGUUACAAGUGUCACACGGAACUGCCGGUCAUAAACCGGAGGAAGGUGGGGAUGACGUCAAGUCAGCAUGGCCUUUAUAUCCUGGGCUACACACACGCUACAAUGGGAAGGGACAAUAGGUUGCGAAGCCGCGAGGCGGAGCCAAUCCAGCAAAACUUCCCUCAGUUCAGAUUGCAGGCUGCAACCCGCCUGCAUGAAGUUGGAGUUGCUAGUAAACGCAGGUCAGCCAUACUGCGUUGAAUACGUUCCCGGGGCUU
RNAcentral lists this ribosomal RNA (343 nucleotides) under uncultured Anaerolineaceae bacterium. RNAcentral describes it as "bacterial SSU rRNA". It matches the Rfam family "Bacterial small subunit ribosomal RNA", at positions 1027 to 1382 of the family's 1533-position model. The record is from RNAcentral. Lineage: Bacteria; Bacillati; Chloroflexota; Anaerolineae; Anaerolineales; Anaerolineaceae.